GAAUUUCAUCCCACCCACAGUGAUUUUUAUAAAUUUCCAGAAUAAUGAGUUAUGUACAAGAAAGAAUAAAAAAGAAUAUAAGAAAGAGGAAGAAGCUAAUGAACAAAGGGAGAGCCUCUGAACUGUGAACUAUCUAAAAGCCAAAACCCAAUCUGAAAGUGUUUCAGAUGAUUUUCGCUUGACUCUGUGCACUAGCCAUUGCAUUUCUUCCUUGAAUUUUCUUCAGCACGCAUGAAGACUAGGAGUGAUCCCCCCUCAAAAUGAAAUCAUUCCUUGUGUUCCAUAUCACCCAUGAGAUGAGGGUAAACCCCCUGAAAAUGUGCACGCAUGAAGACUAUCCAUUUUUUGUUGUUGCGAAAGGCUAAACCAUACUAUCCGUGCGCCAGACAUUCAGACAAGAAUUAAUUCAGGCUUAACAAAUCUCAGAACAUAGCAAUAGCUCUAGGCUUCCAUCCUAAAUCUGAGCAAAACUACUACAUUUUCUUGUUUUGGACCAUGCAAAAUAGCUUUAGGCUAAUGAAGUCUCAGAACAUAGAAAAAUAGUAACUCCAGACUAAGUUCAGAUUGCCCCCGGAAGAAACAUUCAUUGCAGCAACAGAUAUGAGACCUAAUUGUUUUCCCAUUGAUUUGAGAAUUGAAGACCUGCACGAUCAUCAUCAUUCAUCAGUCCGCCUCCAGAUCCCUACAAAAAUGAAGAACAUGGACACUCAAUCGAUUUAUCAAACCAAAACUUGAUAUAUCUGUUUUCACCAAUAUUGCAAGUAUAAUCAUGCCUAACUGGUUGGCUAGCUAGCAAGAAACAUAGAAUCAACAACUACCGGUGCUAGUAAAUGAGUAAAUACAAAGUUACACGAUUGUGGGUUGCAUGUUCUUUCCUACCAUCACAUUCAGUCGUUGUGCGGAAGCGCCAUGUACUCCAUCGCCCACCCAGAUAUCACCACAUGUAGGAUCAGCAAGACGAUUGACACGAUAAAACCGGUAACAUUAGGCCACUGCAAAACCAAUCAUCAGACCCUCAUUGGUACGCACUGCCGUACAUAUGCGCAAGUGGAAAACAAAGCAAUACGAUCCUACCAUCACCAAAGGAUCAUCCCCGAGCCAACCAAACCAAAUCCACACCAUGUAGUUUCCCAUUGCAAAACUUAAGAAUCGCAUGGCUGGUAUCCUCUCCAUCCCCUCCUCCAUCACAUAUGGCUGCAUUUGUAAUGGAGACAUAAGUCACAGAUGGCUCAACGAGGCAUAGUUCGAACCACAAUUUUUACUUACCAAACCGGUGAGUGGUGAUAAAGCGAGUAUUUAACCAAAAACUACCACAUUUCAUGAAAACGUGCCCAGAAACUACCACUUUAUGAUUUUGUACGAAAAACUACCAUUUUUUUCCUAAUCCUUUGCUAAAAACUACCAGUCUGAAAAGUGAUGGACUAAACCCGAUUAUGAUAGGCUGGGCCCACCCAUCAAUGCGGAAAUAGCCAACACCGUUGCUUUGACCGUGAAUAUGUGGGGCUCAUAUGCCAGUUCCAUCUCCUUGCUCUGAAAUUCCCCACCGAGGAUCCAGAUCAGGGGCGCCGCCAUGCCGCAGCUCAGGCCACACUCCACCUCCUUCCCCUCAGCACCUCCAUCCUCCAACCAUCUACCCAGCC
RNAcentral lists this long non-coding RNA (1640 nucleotides) under Triticum aestivum (bread wheat). Its description in RNAcentral is "long non-coding RNA (TAES_LNC005233)". The record is from RNAcentral. Lineage: Eukaryota; Viridiplantae; Streptophyta; Magnoliopsida; Poales; Poaceae.